Molecule: ribosomal RNA, 236 nt
Filed under: uncultured bacterium
Lineage: Bacteria
Description: partial 16S ribosomal RNA
Rfam family: Bacterial small subunit ribosomal RNA
Source: RNAcentral
AGAGUUUGAUCAUGGCUCAGGAUGAACGCUAGCGGCAGGCUUAACACAUGCAAGUCGAGGGGCAGCAUAAUGGAUAGCAAUAUCUAUGGUGGCGACCGGCGCACGGGUGCGUAACGCGUAUGCAACCUACCGUUUAACAGGGGGAUAACACUGAGAAAUUGGUACUAAUACCCCAUAAUAUCAUAGAAGGCAGUCUUUAUGGUUGAAAUUCCGAUGGUUAGAGAUGGGCAUGCGUU